UAUGGUAAUUGUGUGCCUGAAGAAGAGGUAAUACGGAAGAUGCGAGCGUUAUCCGGAUUUAUUGGGUUUAAAGGGAGCGUAGGCGGGCUUUUAAGUCAGCGGUCAAAUGUCGUGGCUCAACCAUGUCAAGCCGUUGAAACUGUAAGCCUUGAGUCUGCACAGGGCACAUGGAAUUCGUGGUGUAGCGGUGAAAUGCUUAGAUAUCACGAAGAACUCCGAUCGCGAAGGCAUUGUGCCGGGGCAUAACUGACGCUGAGGCUCGAAAGUGCGGGUAUCAAACAGG
Molecule: ribosomal RNA, 283 nt
Filed under: Paraprevotella clara YIT 11840
Lineage: Bacteria; Pseudomonadati; Bacteroidota; Bacteroidia; Bacteroidales; Prevotellaceae
Description: partial 16S ribosomal RNA
Rfam family: Bacterial small subunit ribosomal RNA
Source: RNAcentral